CCUACGGGAGGCAGCAGUCGAGAAUCAUUCACAAUGGGGGAAACCCUGAUGGUGCGACGCCGCGUGGGGGAAUGAAGGUCUUCGGAUUGUAAGCCCCUGUCAUGUGGGAGCAAAUUAAAAAGAUAGUACCACAAGAGGAAGAGACGGCUAACUCUGUGCCAGCAGCCGCGGUAAUACCGAGGGCUCAAGCGUUGUUCGGAAUCACUGGGCGUAAAGCGUGCGGAGGCUGUUUCGUAAGUCGUGUGUGAAAGGCGCGGGCUCAACCCGCGGACGGCACAUGAUCCUGCGAGACUAGAGUAAUGGAGGGGGAACCGGAAUUCUCGGUGUAGCAGUGAAAUGCGUAGAGAUCGAGAGGAACACUCGUGGCGAAGGCGGGUUCCUGGAAAUUAACUGACGCUGAGGCACGAAGGCCAGGGGAGCGAACGGGAUUAGAUACCCUGGUAGUC
Molecule: ribosomal RNA, 446 nt
Filed under: uncultured bacterium
Lineage: Bacteria
Description: partial 16S ribosomal RNA
Rfam family: Bacterial small subunit ribosomal RNA
Source: RNAcentral